RNAcentral lists this long non-coding RNA (1386 nucleotides) under Phascolarctos cinereus (koala). RNAcentral's name for it is "lncRNA (ENSPCIG00000036217.1)". Lineage: Eukaryota; Metazoa; Chordata; Mammalia; Diprotodontia; Phascolarctidae. The record is from RNAcentral.
GGGACUUGUUUUAGGACCAGUGAAGUUGUUGCUUUAAAAAAAAAGGCUAUAUAAAGCCUUAGGUUAAAGUCUUCCUCCAUCAGACUGUGCUGAUUAAGUUACUUUUCUCUGAUACUUGUAUGAUGCACUCAACUGGAACGAAGGUGCGGCUUUUGAAGUCCAGUGCUUAGAUGUGGAGACCUGUGACUAAGCAGGAAGGAUUUCUGAGACCAUCAUUGCAGCCUUUCAGGUCACCAGGACUCAGGAGAAGGACUGAACCAUCUUCAGCUAGAGAAUGGAACUUUUCAGGUUUGAGCAGCCCCGCUCAAAGAGGAAAAUGGAGUUUUUUUGAUCAGGCAUGGUCCACAACCUUUCCUUCCCCGGAACCGGACAAAGUUAUGGAGCAUGUAAAGGAACUAUUUAAUUUCAUGACCUAGACUUAACUGUUCUUAGGAUUCCAGCCCCUGGAUUGGAAUACAACCCCAACAACCAAGCAGAGGCAAAGUUUGCUUUGGUAUCAUUUGCAAGCCACUCGGGAUGAAGUACUUAUUAUGUAUUCUUUUUCGUGCAACCCUCUGAUUUCACAAGUGGGUUUGGGCAACGUAUGCUGAAGCCAGUCUGAACCAAGAGUCAUUUGUUAAUAUUCAGUGUGAGAAUUUUACACUUUAGAAUUGGGGGGGGGAAUAGGGGCUUGAUUUAUUGUUCUGUUGAUUGUCCAGACCUGAGAAAGUGUUAACGCAGAUUAAAUUUAAAAGUGUAUUUACAUAUAUUCUCCUCCCCCCCCCAAGAGCCUAGUUGUUAAACAUUUACCAGCACACCUCUGUUUUGCUCUAUAAAUACUGUUUGAGCUCAGCAAGACUGCAAGCCCCAGAAGGCUCAGGGAAUGAAGUCUUUGCCAAACUGAAGGCCAGACUGGAAGUAAUAAUGAUGAUAAUUAGCAUAUGUAUAGCACUUUGAAGUUUGCAAAGUGCUUUACCUCCAUUCUUUCAUCUGAACCUCACAAUAACUUUGAGUGUGGGGAUUUGCUAGGAUAGAAACUCCUAGAAAUGGCAACACGUAUCUUAGAAUAGCCUUAGAGAGUUGCCUGGGGCAAGUUAAUGGGCUUGCCCAUUACCUCUUGGUCUUUAGUAAGAAUCAGGACUCGAACUUUGGUCUAACGUCAGACCUGCCCUCUUGUCAUUUGUUUCUGUAUUUGAUUUUAUAGCCAUAUCUAACAAAAAACAAUCCUGGGCCAACAACUUUAAAGAAGUCCAGAUAGUCAUUAAGAACCACUUAACUACCAGGCUGGUGAUGUAAACUAGGAGAUCAAGGGACUCUACUAGAGCCAGAGGUUGAUUAUCAACCAUACUAACAUUUUCUGGACCCUCAACCAAGAUCUUCUGAAUAAAACAGCUUCCUUGGAGCCCA